RNAcentral lists this long non-coding RNA (203 nucleotides) under Elaeis guineensis (African oil palm). Its description in RNAcentral is "long non-coding RNA (EGUI_LNC036605)". The record is from RNAcentral. Lineage: Eukaryota; Viridiplantae; Streptophyta; Magnoliopsida; Arecales; Arecaceae.
CUUCCGCUUCCACAUCCAUGCGAAUACCAGGUGACUUAAAUCGCAUGAAGCCUGCAUCCAGCCUUCUUUUCUCCACUUGCUUUAAAUGCCCCAUGGCCCAUGUGGAUGGAUGCACGUGACCUGUGUGCAUGAAGCCGCAUCUAAUGAGCCAGCGUGCAGCCGAUCAAAUUCCCAAACUUCUCGUACACCAAGUGGUUCAUGAU